Molecule: ribosomal RNA, 1508 nt
Filed under: uncultured bacterium
Lineage: Bacteria
Description: bacterial SSU rRNA
Rfam family: Bacterial small subunit ribosomal RNA
Source: RNAcentral
CACGGAUCCAGAGUUUGAUCAUGGCUCAGGAUGAACGCUAGCUACAGGCUUAACACAUGCAAGUCGAGGGGCAGCAUGAACUUAGCUUGCUAAGUUUGAUGGCGACCGGCGCACGGGUGAGUAACACGUAUCCAACCUGCCGAUGACUCGGGGAUAGCCUUUCGAAAGAAAGAUUAAUACCCGAUGGCAUAGUUCUUCCGCAUGGUCGAACUAUUAAAGAAUUUCGGUCAUCGAUGGGGAUGCGUUCCAUUAGGUUGUUGGCGGGGUAACGGCCCACCAAGCCUUCGAUGGAUAGGGGUUCUGAGAGGAAGGUCCCCCACAUUGGAACUGAGACACGGUCCAAACUCCUACGGGAGGCAGCAGUGAGGAAUAUUGGUCAAUGGACGAGAGUCUGAACCAGCCAAGUAGCGUGAAGGAUGACUGCCCUAUGGGUUGUAAACUUCUUUUAUACGGGAAUAAAGUGAGGCACGUGUGCCUUUUUGUAUGUACCGUAUGAAUAAGGAUCGGCUAACUCCGUGCCAGCAGCCGCGGUAAUACGGAGGAUCCGAGCGUUAUCCGGAUUUAUUGGGUUUAAAGGGAGCGUAGGCGGACGCUUAAGUCAGUUGUGAAAGUUUGCGGCUCAACCGUAAAAUUGCAGUUGAUACUGGGUGUCUUGAGUACAGUAGAGGCAGGCGGAAUUCGUGGUGUAGCGGUGAAAUGCUUAGAUAUCACGAAGAACUCCGAUUGCGAAGGCAGCUUGCUGGACUGUAACUGACGCUGAUGCUCGAAAGUGUGGGUAUCAAACAGGAUUAGAUACCCUGGUAGUCCACACAGUAAACGAUGAAUACUCGCUGUUUGCGAUAUACAGUAAGCGGCCAAGCGAAAGCGUUAAGUAUUCCACCUGGGGAGUACGCCGGCAACGGUGAAACUCAAAGGAAUUGACGGGGGCCCGCACAAGCGGAGGAACAUGUGGUUUAAUUCGAUGAUACGCGAGGAACCUUACCCGGGCUUGAAUUGCAACUGAAUGAUGUGGAGACAUGUCAGCCGCAAGGCAGUUGUGAAGGUGCUGCAUGGUUGUCGUCAGCUCGCGCCGUGAGGUGUCGGCUUAAGUGCCAUAACGAGCGCAACCCUUAUCGAUAGUUACCAUCAGGUUAUGCUGGGGACUCUGUCGAGACUGCCGUCGUAAGAUGUGAGGAAGGUGGGGAUGACGUCAAAUCAGCACGGCCCUUACGUCCGGGGCUACACACGUGUUACAAUGGGGGGUACAGAAGGCAGCUACACGGCGACGUGAUGCUAAUCCCUAAAGCCUCUCUCAGUUCGGAUUGGAGUCUGCAACCCGACUCCAUGAAGCUGGAUUCGCUAGUAAUCGCGCAUCAGCCACGGCGCGGUGAAUACGUUCCCGGGCCUUGUACACACCGCCCGUCAAGCCAUGAAAGCCGGGGGUACCUGAAGUGCGUAACCGCAAGGAGCGCCCUAGGGUAAAACUGGUGAUUGGGGCUAAGUCGUAACAAGGUAGCCGUAAGCUUCAC